AAAUUGAAGAGUUUGAUCAUGGCUCAGAUUGAACGCUGGCGGCAGGCCUAACACAUGCAAGUCGAACGGUAACAGGAAGCAGCUUGCUGCUUUGCUGACGAGUGGCGGACGGGUGAGUAAUGUCUGGGAAACUGCCUGAUGGAGGGGGAUAACUACUGGAAACGGUGGCUAAUACCGCAUAACGUCGCAAGACCAAAGAGGGGAACCUUCGGGCCUCUUGCCAUCAGAUGUGCCCAGAUGGGAUUAGCUAGUUGGUGAGGUAACGGCUCACCAAGGCGACGAUCCCUAGCUGGUCUGAGAGGAUGACCAGCCACACUGGAACUGAGACACGGUCCAGACUCCUACGGGAGGCAGCAGUGGGGAAUAUUGCACAAUGGGCGCAAGCCUGAUGCAGCCAUGCCGCGUGUAUGAAGAAGGCCUU
This 421-nucleotide ribosomal RNA is filed under the name Salmonella enterica. RNAcentral's name for it is "bacterial SSU rRNA". It matches the Rfam family "Bacterial small subunit ribosomal RNA", at positions 1 to 418 of the family's 1533-position model. RNAcentral also lists the same sequence under 1 other name. Lineage: Bacteria; Pseudomonadati; Pseudomonadota; Gammaproteobacteria; Enterobacterales; Enterobacteriaceae. The record is from RNAcentral.